AGAAGAAUGGCAAGCUCACUUUGGCACUCAGUGGGAAGUUUUCGCACAGAGAAAAUCAACUUAUGACCCUUACGCAAUCCUAGCUCCUGGCCAAAGAAUCUUUAGAAGGAAAUAAGCCUUCGUAAAACUGUAUCUACUCAGGUAAGCCACAAAAUAAACGAAGUGCACGAGAACCAUAUGGAGCAAUGAUGCCUAUAACUGUAAAUCAUUAGAAGUCUUAAUACGUUGUUGAGUUUCCACAAGCAGCACUAGCUACUAGAUCAUUUGAGGGUUAAUUUCACCAAUAGCUUCUAAAGUUAUACCCUCAUUCAGCGCUAUGAUUGAACUUCAAUUUGUAACUCUAAAAUAAUUAAACUUUGUUAAUUGUAAUUGUCGUUAUGUUCGGCCAAACCAUGACCGCAGUAUUGGAAUAACAACCAUA
Molecule: unclassified non-coding RNA, 421 nt
Filed under: Hevea brasiliensis (rubber tree)
Lineage: Eukaryota; Viridiplantae; Streptophyta; Magnoliopsida; Malpighiales; Euphorbiaceae
Source: RNAcentral